CGCGUAGGCGGUCCUUUAAGUCAGGUGUGAAAGCCCGGGGCUCAACCCCGGAAGUGCACUUGAAACUAAGAGACUUGAGUAUGGGAGAGGGAAGUGGAAUUCCUGGUGUAGCGGUGAAAUGCGUAGAUAUCAGGAGGAACAUCAGUGGCGAAGGCGACUUCCUGGACCAAUACUGACGCUGAGGCGCGAAGGCGUGGGGAGCAAACA
This 207-nucleotide ribosomal RNA is filed under the name uncultured bacterium. RNAcentral describes it as "partial 16S ribosomal RNA". It matches the Rfam family "Bacterial small subunit ribosomal RNA", at positions 568 to 774 of the family's 1533-position model. The record is from RNAcentral.